UACGAAGGGGGCUAGCGUUGUUCGGAAUCACUGGGCGUAAAGGGCGCGUAGGCGGCUUUGUAAGUCGGGGGUGAAAGCCUGUGGCUCAACCACAGAAUUGCCUUCGAUACUGCAUGGCUUGAGACCGGAAGAGGUAAGUGGAACUGCGUAGAUAUCAAGAGGAAUACCUGAGGUGAAGACGGGUUGCUAGGCUGACACUGACGCUGAGGCGCGAAAGCCAGGGGAGCGAACGGG
RNAcentral lists this ribosomal RNA (234 nucleotides) under uncultured bacterium. Its description in RNAcentral is "partial 16S ribosomal RNA". It matches the Rfam family "Bacterial small subunit ribosomal RNA", at positions 524 to 776 of the family's 1533-position model. The record is from RNAcentral.